GGAGGGUAUGCGAAUUGGCUAGCAACCUGAUUCGAAAUCAGGCGCCCGCUUGCGGGUUGCGGGUUCGAGUCCCGUGCCCUCCG
Molecule: transfer RNA, 83 nt
Filed under: Planctomycetales bacterium
Lineage: Bacteria; Pseudomonadati; Planctomycetota; Planctomycetia; Planctomycetales
Also listed under: 1 other name
Description: tRNA-Ser
Rfam family: tRNA
About the family: Transfer RNA (tRNA) molecules are approximately 80 nucleotides in length. Their secondary structure includes four short double-helical elements and three loops (D, anti-codon, and T loops).
Source: RNAcentral